RNAcentral lists this ribosomal RNA (1532 nucleotides) under Escherichia coli DEC11A. Its description in RNAcentral is "bacterial SSU rRNA". It matches the Rfam family "Bacterial small subunit ribosomal RNA". Lineage: Bacteria; Pseudomonadati; Pseudomonadota; Gammaproteobacteria; Enterobacterales; Enterobacteriaceae. The record is from RNAcentral.
AGAGUUUGAUCAUGGCUCAGAUUGAACGCUGGCGGCAGGCCUAACACAUGCAAGUCGAACGGUAACAGGAAGAAGCUUGCUUCUUUGCUGACGAGUGGCGGACGGGUGAGUAAUGUCUGGGAAACUGCCUGAUGGAGGGGGAUAACUACUGGAAACGGUAGCUAAUACCGCAUAACGUCGCAAGACCAAAGAGGGGGACCUUCGGGCCUCUUGCCAUCGGAUGUGCCCAGAUGGGAUUAGCUUGUUGGUGGGGUAACGGCUCACCAAGGCGACGAUCCCUAGCUGGUCUGAGAGGAUGACCAGCCACACUGGAACUGAGACACGGUCCAGACUCCUACGGGAGGCAGCAGGUGGGGAAUAUUGCACAAGUGGGCGCAAGCCUGAUGCAGCCAUGCCGCGUGUAUGAAGAAGGCCUUCGGGUUGUAAAGUACUUUCAGCGGGGAGGAAGGGAGUAAAGUUAAUACCUUUGCUCAUUGACGUUACCCGCAGAAGAAGCACCGGCUAACUCCGUGCCAGCAGCCGCGGUAAUACGGAGGGUGCAAGCGUUAAUCGGAAUUACUGGGCGUAAAGCGCACGCAGGCGGUUUGUUAAGUCAGAUGUGAAAUCCCCGGGCUCAACCUGGGAACUGCAUCUGAUACUGGCAAGCUUGAGUCUCGUAGAGGGGGGUAGAAUUCCAGGUGUAGCGGUGAAAUGCGUAGAGAUCUGGAGGAAUACCGGUGGCGAAGGCGGCCCCCUGGACGAAGACUGACGCUCAGGUGCGAAAGCGUGGGGAGCAAACAGGAUUAGAUACCCUGGUAGUCCACGCCGUAAACGAUGUCGACUUGGAGGUUGUGCCCUUGAGGCGUGGCUUCCGGAGCUAACGCGUUAAGUCGACCGCCUGGGGAGUACGGCCGCAAGGUUAAAACUCAAAUGAAUUGACGGGGGCCCGCACAAGCGGUGGAGCAUGUGGUUUAAUUCGAUGCAACGCGAAGAACCUUACCUGGUCUUGACAUCCACAGAACUUUCCAGAGAUGGAUUGGUGCCUUCGGGAACUGUGAGACAGGUGCUGCAUGGCUGUCGUCAGCUCGUGUUGUGAAAUGUUGGGUUAAGUCCCGCAACGAGCGCAACCCUUAUCCUUUGUUGCCAGCGGUCCGGCCGGGAACUCAAAGGAGACUGCCAGUGAUAAACUGGAGGAAGGUGGGGAUGACGUCAAGUCAUCAUGGCCCUUACGACCAGGGCUACACACGUGCUACAAUGGCGCAUACAAAGAGAAGCGACCUCGCGAGAGCAAGCGGACCUCAUAAAGUGCGUCGUAGUCCGGAUUGGAGUCUGCAACUCGACUCCAUGAAGUCGGAAUCGCUAGUAAUCGUGGAUCAGAAUGCCACGGUGAAUACGUUCCCGGGCCUUGUACACACCGCCCGUCACACCAUGGGAGUGGGUUGCAAAAGAAGUAGGUAGCUUAACCUUCGGGAGGGCGCUUACCACUUUGUGAUUCAUGACUGGGGUGAAGUCGUAACAAGGUAACCGUAGGGGAACCUGCGGUUGGAUCACCU